This 207-nucleotide ribosomal RNA is filed under the name uncultured bacterium. RNAcentral describes it as "partial 16S ribosomal RNA". It matches the Rfam family "Bacterial small subunit ribosomal RNA", at positions 568 to 774 of the family's 1533-position model. The record is from RNAcentral.
CACGUAGGUGGUUUGGUCAGUCAGAUGUGAAAGCCCCGGGCUCAACCUGGGAACUGCACCUGAUACUGCCAGACUAGAGUACGGUAGAGGGUAGUGGAAUUUCCGGUGUAGCGGUGAAAUGCGUAGAGAUCGGAAGGAACACCAGUGGCGAAGGCGACUGCCUGGACCGAUACUGACACUGAGGUGCGAAAGCGUGGGUAGCAAACA